Molecule: ribosomal RNA, 320 nt
Filed under: uncultured eukaryote
Lineage: Eukaryota
Description: partial 18S ribosomal RNA
Rfam family: Eukaryotic small subunit ribosomal RNA
Source: RNAcentral
CCCUUAGAUGUUCUGGGCCGCACGCGCGCUACACUGACGAAUGCAACGAGCUUAUAACCUUGGCCGAAAGGUCUGGGUAAUCUCCAAAUUUCGUCGUGAUGGGGAUAGAUUAUUGCAAUUAUUAAUCUUCAACGAGGAAUGCCUAGUAAGCGCAAGUCAUCAGCUUGCGUUGAUUACGUCCCUGCCCUUUGUACACACCGCCCGUCGCUCCUACCGAUUGAAUGGUCCGGUGAAAUCUCGGGACGGCGGCUUGGUCGCUUGCGUCCGACUGCUGAAACUUGAUUAAACCAUAUCAUUUAGAGGAAGGUGAANUCGUANCA